RNAcentral lists this long non-coding RNA (542 nucleotides) under Nicotiana tabacum (common tobacco). Its description in RNAcentral is "long non-coding RNA (NTAB_LNC000295)". The record is from RNAcentral. Lineage: Eukaryota; Viridiplantae; Streptophyta; Magnoliopsida; Solanales; Solanaceae.
CUUGGAGAUGACGGGCUGUAUGGACUAGACGGAGACAGCUUUGGACUGGUCGGCGAAUAUGCAAGGGAGGGGCUGUAUCUCGCCGAGGGAUUGUAACUUGGUGAUGUAGGACUAUAUGAUGGUGAUGUUGGGCUGUAACUGGGAGAUGUUGGGCUGUAACCAGGGGAGGUAGGACUGUAUGCAGGAGAAGUGGGACUAUAUGAUGGAGAAGUUGGACUAUAACUUGGUGAGGUGGGGCUAUAUGAAGGCGAGGUGGGGCUGUAAGAAGGUGAGGUGGGGCUGUAUGAAGGUGAAGUGGGGCUGUAAGAUGGAGAAGUGGGGCUGUAAGAUGGAGAAGUGGGGCUGUAGGCAGGCGAAGUGGGGCUGUAGGCAGGCGAAGUGGGACUGUAGGCAGGCGAAGUGGGGCUGUAGCUAGGCGAUGUUGGGCUAUAACUAGGAGAUGUAGGGCUAUAGCUCGGAGAUGUUGGACUAUAACUAGGUGAUGUGGGAGAGUACGAUGGACUGGUUGGGGAAUAUGCUGGACUUGUCGGACUGUAGCCAGG